GAUGAACGCUGGCGGCGUGCUUAACACAUGCAAGUCGAACGGACAAUUAUGAAACCUAGUGAAUGAUUGUUAGUGGCGGACGGGUGAGUAACGCGUGGGCAACCUGCCUCGUACUGGGGGAUAACACUCAGAAAUAGGUGCUAAUACCGCAUAAGCGCACGGAGACGCAUGUUUCUGUGUGAAAACUCCGGUGGUACGAGAUGGACCCGCGUCUGAUUAGCUAGUUGGUGGGGUAACGGCCUACCAAGGCGACGAUCAGUAGCCGGCCUGAGAGGGUGACCGGCCACAUUGGGACUGAGACACGGCCCAA
This 310-nucleotide ribosomal RNA is filed under the name uncultured bacterium. Its description in RNAcentral is "bacterial SSU rRNA". It matches the Rfam family "Bacterial small subunit ribosomal RNA", at positions 28 to 334 of the family's 1533-position model. The record is from RNAcentral.